This 426-nucleotide ribosomal RNA is filed under the name uncultured Acholeplasma sp. RNAcentral describes it as "bacterial SSU rRNA". It matches the Rfam family "Bacterial small subunit ribosomal RNA", at positions 954 to 1382 of the family's 1533-position model. The record is from RNAcentral. Lineage: Bacteria; Bacillati; Mycoplasmatota; Mollicutes; Acholeplasmatales; Acholeplasmataceae.
AUGAUACGCGAAGAAACCUUACCAGGUCUUGACACUCCCCGCCGAUGCUUUAGUAGAUAAAGCGGAGGUAUUCGGGGAGACAGGUGGUGCAUGGUUGUCGUCAGCUCGUGUCGUGAGAUGUUGGGUUAAGUCCCGCAACGAGCGCAACCCCUAUUGCUAGUUACCAUCAUUAAGUUGGGGACUCUAGCGAGACUGCCAGUGAUAAACUGGAGGAAGGUGGGGAUGACGUCAAAUCAUCAUGCCCCUUAUGACCUGGGCUACAAACGUGAUACAAUGGCUGGAACAAAGGGAUGCGAAGCAGUGAUGUGGAGCGAAACCCAUAAAAACAGUCUCAGUUCGGAUUGAAGUCUGCAACUCGACUUCAUGAAGUCGGAAUCGCUAGUAAUCGCGGAUCAGAACGCCGCGGUGAAUACGUUCUCGGGGUUU